This 434-nucleotide ribosomal RNA is filed under the name uncultured Lachnospiraceae bacterium. RNAcentral's name for it is "bacterial SSU rRNA". It matches the Rfam family "Bacterial small subunit ribosomal RNA", at positions 341 to 792 of the family's 1533-position model. Lineage: Bacteria; Bacillati; Bacillota; Clostridia; Lachnospirales; Lachnospiraceae. The record is from RNAcentral.
ACGGGAGGCAGCAGUGGGGAAUAUUGGACAAUGGGGGAAGCCCUGAUCCAGCGACGCCGCGUGAGUGAAGAAGUAUUUCGGUAUGUAAAGCUCUAUCAGCAAGGAAGAAAAUGACGGUACUUGACUAAGAGGCUCCGGCUAAAUACGUGCCAGCAGCCGCGGUAAUACGUAUGGAGCAAGCGUUAUCCGGAUUUACUGGGUGUAAAGGGAGCGUAGACGGCAAAGCAAGUCUGAAGUGAAAUGCCGGGGCUUAACCCCGGAACUGCUUUGGAAACUGUUUAGCUAGAGUGCAGGAGAGGUAAGCGGAAUUCCUAGUGUAGCGGUGAAAUGCGUAGAUAUUAGGAGGAACACCAGUGGCGAAGGCGGCUUACUGGACUGUAACUGACGUUGAGGCUCGAAAGCGUGGGGAGCAAACAGGAUUAGAUACCCUGGUA